UUGCGCACGAACGGUGGGGUAACAGAAAUGUCCCCAACAUUAAUCUUAUGGAUUUGUUAGCAGCCGUGAACGUGCGCUAUU
This 81-nucleotide non-coding RNA is filed under the name unclassified sequences. The record is from Rfam.